CUGUGAGGGUUGCUGGAGGUAUCAGAAGUGCGAAUGCUGACAUAAGUAACGAUAAAGCGGGUGAAAAGCCCGCUCGCCGGAAGACCAAGGGUUCCUGUCCAACGUUAAUCGGGGCAGGGUGAGUCGACCCCUAAGGCGAGGCCGAAAGGCGUAGUCGAUGGGAAACGGGUUAAUAUUCCCGUACUUGGUGUUACUGCGAAGGGGGGACGGAGAAGGCUAUGUUGGCCGGGCGACGGUUGUCCCGGUUUAAGCGUGUAGGUGUGUGUUCCAGGUAAAUCCGGUUCACUUUAACACUGAGGCGUGAUGACGAGGCACUACGGUGCUGAAGUAACAAAUGCCCUGCUUCCAGGAAAAGCCUCUAAGCAUCAGGUAACAUCAAAUCGUACCCCAAACCGACACAGGUGGUCAGGUAGAGAAUACCAAGGCGCUUGAGAGAACUCGGGUGAAGGAACUAGGCAAAAUGGUGCCGUAACUUCGGGAGAAGGCACGCUGACAC
This 496-nucleotide ribosomal RNA is filed under the name Salmonella enterica. Its description in RNAcentral is "partial 23S ribosomal RNA". It matches the Rfam family "Bacterial large subunit ribosomal RNA", at positions 1261 to 1757 of the family's 2925-position model. RNAcentral also lists the same sequence under 1 other name. The record is from RNAcentral. Lineage: Bacteria; Pseudomonadati; Pseudomonadota; Gammaproteobacteria; Enterobacterales; Enterobacteriaceae.